GAAAUGCGAUAAGUAAUGUGAAUUGCAGAAUUCAGUGAAUCAUCGAAUCUUUGAACGCACCUUGCGCUCCUUGGUAUUCCUUGGAGCAUGCCUGUUUGAGUAUCAUGAAAUCUUCAAAGUAAAUCUUUUGUUAACUCAAUUGGUUUCUACUUUGGUAUUGGAGGUCUUUGCAGCUUCACACCUGCUCCUCUUUGUUCAUUAGCUGGAUCUGAGUGUUAUGCUUGGUUCCACUCGGCGUGAUAAGUUAUCUAUCGCUGAGGACACUGUAAAAGGUGGCCAAGGUAAAUGCAGAUGAACCGCUUCUAAUAGUCCAUUGACUUGGACAAUACUUUUAUGAUCUGAUCUCAAAUCAGGUAGGACUACCCGCUGAACUUAAGC
RNAcentral lists this unclassified non-coding RNA (378 nucleotides) under plant metagenome. RNAcentral's name for it is "partial contains 5.8S ribosomal RNA, internal transcribed spacer 2, and large subunit ribosomal RNA". The stretch from base 1 to 105 matches the Rfam family "5.8S ribosomal RNA", at positions 50 to 154 of the family's 154-position model. The record is from RNAcentral.